GGGGUUGUGGCUCAGUGGUAGAGUACUCGUCUAGCACAUGUGAAGCACUGAGUUUGAUCCUCAGCACCACA
RNAcentral lists this transfer RNA (71 nucleotides) under Marmota monax (woodchuck). Its description in RNAcentral is "tRNA.Ala". It matches the Rfam family "tRNA". From Rfam's summary of the family: Transfer RNA (tRNA) molecules are approximately 80 nucleotides in length. The record is from RNAcentral. Lineage: Eukaryota; Metazoa; Chordata; Mammalia; Rodentia; Sciuridae.